UAAGUGAACCUUGGUUUGCUGCUCAAGUGC
This 30-nucleotide non-coding RNA is filed under the name Mus musculus (house mouse). The record is from RNAcentral. Lineage: Eukaryota; Metazoa; Chordata; Mammalia; Rodentia; Muridae.